Choloepus hoffmanni (Hoffmann's two-fingered sloth) is the source of this 107-nucleotide small nuclear RNA. The record is from Ensembl. NCBI's taxonomy places the organism in Eukaryota, Metazoa, Chordata, Mammalia, Pilosa, Megalonychidae.
GUGCUUGCUUUGGCAGAACAUAUACUAAAAUUGGAACAACACAAAAAAGAUUAGCAUGGUCCCUGCACAAGGAUGACAUGCAAAUUCGUGAAGGGUUUCAUAUUUUU